GGGCCCGCACAAGCGGUGGAGUAUGUGGUUUAAUUCGAUGCAACGCGAAGAACCUUACCAGGGUUUGACAUCCUGCGAAUCUCUUGGAAACGAGAGAGUGCCUUCGGGAACGCAGUGACAGGUGGUGCAUGGCUGUCGUCAGCUCGUGUCGUGAGAUGUUGGGUUAAGUCCCGCAACGAGCGCAACCCACGUCGUUAGUUGCCAGCAUUUAGUUGGGCACUCUAGCGAGACCGCCGGUGAUAAACCGGAGGAAGGUGUGGAUGACGUCAAGUCAUCAUGCCCCUUACAUCCUGGGCUACACACGUACUACAAUGGUAGGGACAGAGAGCAGCCACUACGCGAGUAGGAGCG
This 351-nucleotide ribosomal RNA is filed under the name uncultured bacterium. RNAcentral's name for it is "bacterial SSU rRNA". It matches the Rfam family "Bacterial small subunit ribosomal RNA", at positions 917 to 1269 of the family's 1533-position model. The record is from RNAcentral.